This 28-nucleotide small RNA is filed under the name Bombyx mori (domestic silkworm). Its description in RNAcentral is "ovarian small RNA-7950". The record is from RNAcentral. Lineage: Eukaryota; Metazoa; Arthropoda; Insecta; Lepidoptera; Bombycidae.
UGAAGACGGAACCCAGUUAGUGCAAUAA